This is a non-coding RNA of Orycteropus afer afer, 71 nucleotides long. Lineage: Eukaryota; Metazoa; Chordata; Mammalia; Tubulidentata; Orycteropodidae. The record is from the annotation of a RefSeq genome assembly.
GCUGUGAUGGUUCAGUGGUAGAAUUCUUGCCUCCCAUGAAAGAGGCCUGGGUUUGAUUCCCAGUCAGUGCA